RNAcentral lists this ribosomal RNA (506 nucleotides) under uncultured bacterium. RNAcentral's name for it is "partial 16S ribosomal RNA". It matches the Rfam family "Bacterial small subunit ribosomal RNA", at positions 29 to 523 of the family's 1533-position model. The record is from RNAcentral.
AGUGAACGCUGGCGGUAGGCCUAACACAUGCAAGUCGAACGGAAGCACAGGAGAGCUUGCUCUCUGGGUGGCGAGUGGCGGACGGGUGAGGAAUACAUCGGAAUCUACUCUGUCGUGGGGGAUAACGUAGGGAAACUUACGCUAAUACCGCAUACGACCUACGGGUGAAAGCAGGGGACCUUCGGGCCUUGCGCGAUUGAAUGAGCCGAUGUCGGAUUAGCUAGUUGGCGGGGUAAAGGCCCACCAAGGCGACGAUCCGUAGCUGGUCUGAGAGGAUGAUCAGCCACACUGGAACUGAGACACGGUCCAGACUCCUACGGGAGGCAGCAGUGGGGAAUAUUGGACAAUGGGCGCAAGCCUGAUCCAGCCAUACCGCGUGGGUGAAGAAGGCCUUCGGGUUGUAAAGCCCUUUUGUUGGGAAAGAAAUCCAGCUGGCUAAUACCCGGUUGGGAUGACGGUACCCAAAGAAUAAGCACCGGCUAACUUCGUGCCAGCAGCCGCCGAAA